RNAcentral lists this ribosomal RNA (497 nucleotides) under uncultured bacterium. RNAcentral's name for it is "partial 16S ribosomal RNA". It matches the Rfam family "Bacterial small subunit ribosomal RNA", at positions 28 to 507 of the family's 1533-position model. The record is from RNAcentral.
GAUGAACGCUGGCGGCGUGCCUAAUACAUGCAAGUCGAGCGAACGGACGAGAAGCUUGCUUCUCUGAUGUUAGCGGCGGACGGGUGAGUAACACGUGGAUAACCUACCUAUAAGACUGGGAUAACUUCGGGAAACCGGAGCUAAUACCGGAUGAUAUUUUGAACCGCAUGGUUCAAAAGUGAAAGACGGUCUUGCUGUCACUUAUAGAUGGAUCCGCGCUGCAUUAGCUAGUUGGUAAGGUAACGGCUUACCAAGGCAACGAUGCAUAGCCGACCUGAGAGGGUGAUCGGCCACACUGGGACUGAGACACGGCCCAGACUCCUACGGGAGGCAGCAGUAGGGAAUCUUCCGCAAUGGACGAAAGCCUGACGGAGCAACGCCGCGUGAGUGAAGAAGGUCUUCGGGUCGUAAAGCUCUGUUGUUAGGGAAGAACAAGUAUGGAAGUAACUGGCGCUACCGUGACGGUACCUAACGAGAAAGCCACGGCUAACUACGUG